UGGGCAACCUGCCCUUCUCAUCGGAAUAAGCGUUGGAAACGACGUCUAAUGCCGAAUACGACCUCCUUUCGCAUGAUCGGAGGUGGAAAGCUCCGGCGGAGAAGGAUGAGCUCGCGGCCUAUCAGCUUGUUGGUGUGGGUAACGCCCACCAAGGCGACGACGGGUAGCCGGCCUGAGAGGGUGACCGGCCACACUGGGACUGAGACACGGCCCAGACCUCCGUAACGGGAGGCAGNAGGUAGGG
RNAcentral lists this ribosomal RNA (244 nucleotides) under uncultured bacterium. RNAcentral's name for it is "partial 16S ribosomal RNA". It matches the Rfam family "Bacterial small subunit ribosomal RNA", at positions 118 to 360 of the family's 1533-position model. The record is from RNAcentral.